GUUAGCAUAUUUAAAGACUUUUGCAGAUACAUUAAUUCAUCCCAAAGUGUAGAUGUAUAAACUUUCAAGAGACCUAAAUGGUCCUCUCUCAUCCAGUUAUGGGCCAGAGGACCCAAGGAAUCCUUGAAACUCAGUCUCUCAGGUCUAUGUAGAUUGGCUCCCAAACCACCCAGCGUUGAAUAUCUUCAAAGGGAGGGACCUCGUCUCGCACCCCAUCGCUGUCAGAAAGUAGUCAAUGGAGUGAUUUCGAGCCACCGCCGUACCAGUCUCCCCUCAGUGAUGCUCCAGCCACACUGGCCUCCUGAGUGUUCCUCAAAUCUGCCCAGCAGGUUAUGGUCUCGGGAUCUUCUCUGCCUGGAAUCCACUCUCUGCAUAUAACUGCAUGGCUCUCUACUCUUAUUUUCUGCGUGUCUCCUCUCAAAGGUCACCUAAACAAAGAGAAUAAGAAACAGGAUACAGUACAACGAGAUUAACCAGGAAAGAGCCAGCAACCUGUUCAACCUCCCGUCCAGAUGGAGGUGUCAGCCUCAGCCAUAAGCCUGAUCGUGGCGAACAAUUUCCAGUGCUGAACAUCCCAAAACUCAUCUGCUGGGCAUUAAAACUCGAGAAAUUCCCACAUUAACUACUGCCAGAGUUUUUGUCAGCAAAAUAUAACCAUGGUUUAUCACCCAAAGUUGAUACAUUUUUAUCCAAAAGGAAAU
RNAcentral lists this long non-coding RNA (701 nucleotides) under Equus caballus (horse). RNAcentral describes it as "lncRNA (ENSECAG00000035805.3)". The record is from RNAcentral. Lineage: Eukaryota; Metazoa; Chordata; Mammalia; Perissodactyla; Equidae.